Molecule: long non-coding RNA, 518 nt
Filed under: Fragaria vesca (wild strawberry)
Lineage: Eukaryota; Viridiplantae; Streptophyta; Magnoliopsida; Rosales; Rosaceae
Description: long non-coding RNA (FVES_LNC003276)
Source: RNAcentral
CACAACCACCACCGCCACCAACAUCACCACCACCUCCUCCACAACCACCACCGCCACCACCAUCACCACCACCACCACAACCGCCUCCUCCACCACCGCCACCCCUCCUUUUCUUGCUUGAUGAUCCACAAGCAAAUAUGACCAUCGAUAUGAGUGAGAGAGACAUAAGAACCAUGCCAACCAAAAGCAGGCCGCCAGAGUUGUCUGCCAAAAUACUGAGACCUACUCCCACUCCAUGACCACCACCACCAACAACAAAAUAAUUUCUAGCCAUUUUUUGGGUCUCGUUGCGUAACAAUACUUGCCGUAUGAACAAAUACUGUGUAGAAUUAAAAGCGAAGAACAGCUAUAUAUAUAGGAAUUCCAAGCAUACGUAUCACAUGCACCUAUGAGGUGUUGAAGUUUCAAAGCCAUAUUCUUCAAGUAUUUGAAUUGGCAGCUACAGAUUGAAAGGUUGAAGCUUAGACAAGUCUUACAAUUAAGGUGAUCCACAUAUAAGAACAUAUAUAUAUAUAUAU